RNAcentral lists this ribosomal RNA (259 nucleotides) under uncultured prokaryote. RNAcentral's name for it is "partial 16S ribosomal RNA". It matches the Rfam family "Bacterial small subunit ribosomal RNA", at positions 524 to 782 of the family's 1533-position model. The record is from RNAcentral.
CACGUAGGUGGCGAGCGUUGUCCGGAAUUACUGGGCGUAAGGCGUGCGCAGGCGGCUUUGCAAGACAGAGGUGAAAUCCCCGGGCUCAACCUGGGAACUGCCUUUGUGACUGCAAGGCUAGAGUACGGCAGAGGGGGAUGGAAUUCCGCGUGUAGCAGUGAAAUGCGUAGAUAUGCGGAGGAACACCGACGGCGAAGGCAAUCCCCUGGGCCUGUACUGACGCUCAUGCACGAAAGCGUGGGGAGCAAACAGGAUUAGA